This 491-nucleotide ribosomal RNA is filed under the name uncultured bacterium. RNAcentral describes it as "partial 16S ribosomal RNA". It matches the Rfam family "Bacterial small subunit ribosomal RNA", at positions 29 to 506 of the family's 1533-position model. The record is from RNAcentral.
AGUGAACGCUGGCGGUAGGCCUAACACAUGCAAGUCGAACGGCAGCACAGUAAGAGCUUGCUCUUACGGGUGGCGAGUGGCGGACGGGUGAGGAAUACAUCGGAAUCUACUUUUUCGUGGGGGAUAAUGUAGGGAAACUUACGCUAAUACCGCAUACGACCUACGGGUGAAGGCAGGGGAUCUUCGGACCUUGCGCGAUUGAAUGAGCCGAUGUCGGAUUAGCUAGUUGGCGGGGUAAAGGCCCACCAAGGCGACGAUCCGUAGCUGGUCUGAGAGGAUGAUCAGCCACACUGGAACUGAGACACGGUCCAGACUCCUACGGGAGGCGGCAGUGGGGAAUAUUGGACAAUGGGCGCAAGCCUGAUCCAGCCAUACCGCGUGGGUGAAGAAGGCCUUCGGGUUGUAAAGCCCUUUUGUUGGGAAAGAAAAGCAGCAGGUUAAUACCCCGCUGUUCUGACGGUACCCAAAGAAUAAGCACCGGCUAACUUCGU